Molecule: long non-coding RNA, 209 nt
Filed under: Hordeum vulgare
Lineage: Eukaryota; Viridiplantae; Streptophyta; Magnoliopsida; Poales; Poaceae
Description: long non-coding RNA (HVUL_LNC016765)
Source: RNAcentral
GGAGGUGUUAUUUUCACUAAGUCUGAAAUAGUGCGUAAGAUGCCAUUUUGUGUCUUCUUUUCCUAGUGCUCCUUGCUGCCAUGCUAGUAAUUGUUAGUUGUUUGUAGUAGAGCGUCUUGCCCUCUUUCAUGCCAUGCCUUGCUUGAGCUCAUCGGAGUGGUGUAGCCGAAGUUGUGAGGCGUAGGAAGUGCUAUGCGGCUGUUCUUGGC